RNAcentral lists this ribosomal RNA (228 nucleotides) under Sericomyrmex bondari. Its description in RNAcentral is "partial large subunit ribosomal RNA". The record is from RNAcentral. Lineage: Eukaryota; Metazoa; Arthropoda; Insecta; Hymenoptera; Formicidae.
GAAUUUUAUAUAUAAAAUUUAUUAUUAGAGUUAAUUUUUAUUUGGAUAAAGUUAUAUAUUUAAUUGGGAGGAUUAUUAAAUUAAUUGAACUUUAAUUAAUAGGAGGAUAUUAAUAAAUAAUUUAUAAUUUUAAUUAUAAAGGAGGAUUAAUUAAUUGAUUUAGAAUUAAUUACCUUAGGGAUAACAGCGUAAUAAUUUUGGAAAGAACAUAUUAAUAAAAUUGAUUGC